Molecule: ribosomal RNA, 406 nt
Filed under: uncultured bacterium
Lineage: Bacteria
Description: partial 16S ribosomal RNA
Rfam family: Bacterial small subunit ribosomal RNA
Source: RNAcentral
AUUGAACGCUGGCGGCAUGCCUAACACAUGCAAGUCGAACGAGUGGCGGACGGGUGAGUAAUGUCUGGGAAACUGCCCGAUGGAGGGGGAUAACUACUGGAAACGGUAGCUAAUACCGCAUACCAUCGGAUGUGCCCCGAUGGGAUUAGCUAGUAGGUGGGGUAACGGCUCACCUAGGCGACGAUCCCUAGCUGGUCUGAGAGGAGGACCAGCCACACUGGAACUGAGACACGGCCCAGACUCCUACGGGAGGCAGCAGUGGGGAAUAUUGCACAAUGGGCGAAAGCCUGAUGCAGCCAUGCCGCGUGUAUGAUGAAGGCCUUCGGGUUGUAAAGUACUUUCAGCGAGGAGGCGUUACUCGCAGAAGAAGCACCGGCUAACUACGUGCCAGCAGCCGCGGUAAUAC